UAUAAAUGCUUACUUACUACGUCACACA
Molecule: small RNA, 28 nt
Filed under: Bombyx mori (domestic silkworm)
Lineage: Eukaryota; Metazoa; Arthropoda; Insecta; Lepidoptera; Bombycidae
Description: ovarian small RNA-23255
Source: RNAcentral